RNAcentral lists this ribosomal RNA (490 nucleotides) under uncultured eukaryote. Its description in RNAcentral is "bacterial SSU rRNA". It matches the Rfam family "Eukaryotic small subunit ribosomal RNA", at positions 13 to 482 of the family's 1831-position model. The record is from RNAcentral.
CCUGACGGUAGUCGUAUGCUCGUCUCCGAGACUAAGCCAUGCAAGUCCAAGUACACGUCCUUGAACGACGGAAACUGCGAACGGCUCAUUAAAUCAGUUGCGAUCUACUCGGCGUUCCGCGCCGCCGGAUAACCGUAGUAAUUCUAGGGCUAAUACGUGCGAAGCGCCCGAAGCCGCGAGGCGACGGGCGUUCUCGCCGGAUGUAGGAACCGACCCGGGGACCGCCGGGGCAACCCGGCGCCCCCGAGACGGGGCGAACCACGGUGAAAUGACGGAUCGUCGGCCCCGCGCCGGCGACUCGCCGAAUGAGUUUCUGACCUAUCAACUCGAGACGGCGGGGUAGAGGCCCGCCGCGGUAACGACGGGUAACGGGGAAUCAGGGUUCGAUUCCGGAGAGGGAGCCCGAGAAACGGCUACCACUUCCAAGGAAGGCAGCAGGCGCGCAACUUACCCUAAUCUCGAUUCGAGGAGGUAGUGACAAGAAAUACCG